RNAcentral lists this small RNA (438 nucleotides) under Pan troglodytes (chimpanzee). RNAcentral describes it as "sense intronic". Lineage: Eukaryota; Metazoa; Chordata; Mammalia; Primates; Hominidae. The record is from RNAcentral.
CCCAGAGUGGAGCUCAGCGACAGAGGAAUGCUUCACUGAAAGAAAUGACAGACAGGUCUGUCCCACCCACGGUGACUCAGUCAUUGUUGUUCAUGGCCGCUGCCCGUUCUUCGCGAUCAAAGAGGAGAAUUCUUUGGAGGAAACAGAGCUUUCAUACGUGAAUCAACUGGGAAGCGAGUCAAAAGUACUGCAACUGGAAGUGUGGCAUGGGGAGGGGGCCGUGGCCAGUCUCCUCACUGGGCUCCUGGAAGUGUGGCAUGGGGCAGGGGUCAUGGCCAGUCUCCUCGCUGGGCUCCUGUAGGACUGAGAACACCUACUCCUUCACACCUAAUUAUGUUUGCUGGAUUGGGUUAUAGUUCUUCAGUGUGUGGACUCUUGUCAGUUUUAUAUCCGUAGACCGAGCACAAUGCCUGGAAUACAGAGCAUGCUUAAUAAUCA